GUGUGUGUGUGUGUGUGUACUGCUCUUUUUUCCCUUUUAAAUUCAUUGUCAUUCAGUUCAGAGAAGUUCCAACUGGCUGGAGACAUACAUUUCAAUUUGUUGUUGCUGUUCCUCUUGUGCACCACUUGGAUUUUCGUAGGAAUUGAAAAUGCCAGCGCCCAAAAUGACGUCCGAACUCGACGAAAGUUUAGACAAAAGCAACAUAAAGUGUGUUCUGGUCGGAGACAGUGCCAUUGGCAAGUCAUGUUUAGCAGCCAGAAUUACAAAUAAUACUUUCCACACGGAGUAUCUACCUACAUUAUUUGAUAACUACGCUGGUAACGUUUUUGUCCG
This is a long non-coding RNA of Octopus sinensis (East Asian common octopus), 333 nucleotides long. RefSeq lists it as uncharacterized. The record is from RefSeq and is a predicted model, not a curated record. The transcript is spliced from 3 exons. Lineage: Eukaryota; Metazoa; Mollusca; Cephalopoda; Octopoda; Octopodidae.